This is a long non-coding RNA of Triticum aestivum (bread wheat), 492 nucleotides long. RefSeq lists it as uncharacterized. The record is from RefSeq and is a predicted model, not a curated record. The transcript is spliced from 3 exons. NCBI's taxonomy places the organism in Eukaryota, Viridiplantae, Streptophyta, Magnoliopsida, Poales, Poaceae.
GGCAUCGUCGUCCUCCGUCCGCACUAAUUAUUUGCGUUCGGGCCGCUCGAGGUCCGUCUGGAUGUAGUCAUGGCGAUUCUGGGAGCAACGACGCCGGCGUUGGGCGCAGGAUCAGCCGGAGCGGCACACCCUCCGGUGGUGCGCGAGGUUGCAGAAGCGUUGCAAAAGUACCCGUGCCCCUGCAGUAUAUAUCCUGGUUAAAUUUCAUUGACAAUAAGCCUUGAUUUGCUAGUAAUAAGAACCAGCGCACUUGCAUGACACUUCCCUAGUCCUCGUCCAGGCGCACCUCGUGCACAAGAUCAAUGGCAGCGGUGGCGGGGGUGUCUGGAGAUGAUGAGCAGAAGAUGAGCUCUGGAACAUCGCGGCACGGCAGCGUCGGUUGAUCAGGACAGCGCGAGAUGCUUGUGCGUGUUUGUGCAAAACGAUCGGUACUGUCCACCUGGUGCAUGGGCCUUAAAUACAUGCAGCUGGGUAAAGUGUUUACGUUAUACA